RNAcentral lists this ribosomal RNA (275 nucleotides) under uncultured prokaryote. RNAcentral's name for it is "partial 16S ribosomal RNA". It matches the Rfam family "Bacterial small subunit ribosomal RNA", at positions 524 to 798 of the family's 1533-position model. The record is from RNAcentral.
CACGGGGGUUGCGAGCGUUGUCCGGAAUUACUAGGCGUAAAGGGCAGGCAUGCGGAUCCAUAAGUUUAUCGUUUAAGGCGUCGGCUUAACCGGCGUAGGGCGGUAGAUACUGUGGAUCUGGAAUGCGGUUGGGGAAGACAGAAUUCCUGGUGUAGCGGUGGAAUGCGCAGAGAUCAGGAGGAAUACCGAAGGCGAAGGCAGUCUUCCAAGCCGUUAUUGACGCUCAACUGCGAAGGUGUGGGUAUCAAACAGGAUUAGAUACCCUGGUAGUCCCU